RNAcentral lists this ribosomal RNA (253 nucleotides) under uncultured bacterium. RNAcentral describes it as "partial 16S ribosomal RNA". It matches the Rfam family "Bacterial small subunit ribosomal RNA", at positions 524 to 776 of the family's 1533-position model. The record is from RNAcentral.
UACGUAGGGGCCGAGCGUUGUCCGGAGUUAUUGGGCGUAAAGCGCGCGCAGGCGGCUUGGCGCGCCCGACGUGAAAGCCCCCGGCUUAACCGGGGAGAGUCGUCGGGGACGGCCGGGCUUGGGGGCGGGAGAGGGUGGUGGAAUUCCCGGUGUAGUGGUGAAAUGCGUAGAGAUCGGGAGGAACACCUGUGGCGAAGGCGGCCACCUGGGCCGACCCUGACGCUGAGGCGCGAAGGCGUGGGGAGCGAACGGG